Molecule: signal recognition particle RNA, 299 nt
Filed under: Saimiri boliviensis boliviensis (Bolivian squirrel monkey)
Lineage: Eukaryota; Metazoa; Chordata; Mammalia; Primates; Cebidae
Description: Metazoan signal recognition particle RNA (ENSSBOG00000004906.1)
Rfam family: Metazoan signal recognition particle RNA
About the family: The signal recognition particle (SRP) is a universally conserved ribonucleoprotein. It is involved in the co-translational targeting of proteins to membranes.
Source: RNAcentral
GCCAGGCGUGAUGGUGAGUACCUGUAGUCCCAGCUUCUCGAGAGGCUGAGGUAGAAGGAUUGCUUGAGCCCAGGAGUUCUGGGCUGUAGUGCCCUAUGCGGAUUGGGUGUCCGCACUAAGUUCAGCAUCAGUAUAGUGACCUCCUGGGAGCAGGGGACCACCAGGUUGCCUAAGGAGGGGUGAACUGGCCCAGGUCGGAAAUAGAGCAGGUCAAAACUCCGGUGCUGAUCAGUAGUGGGGUCAAGCCCAUGAAUAGCCACUGUACUCCAACCUGGGCAGCAUAGCAAGACCCCAUGUCU